Molecule: RNA transcript, 3026 nt
Organism: Centrocercus urophasianus (Greater sage-grouse)
Lineage: Eukaryota; Metazoa; Chordata; Aves; Galliformes; Phasianidae
Gene: PIAS2
Gene name: protein inhibitor of activated STAT 2
Exons: 13
Source: RefSeq, a predicted model, not a curated record
AUGGUAUCAAGUUUUCGUGUUUCUGAACUUCAAGUAUUGUUGGGCUUUGCUGGGCGUAAUAAAAGUGGACGGAAACAUGACCUCCUAAUGAGGGCUCUGCACUUACUGAAGAGUGGCUGCAGCCCAGCAGUGCAGAUAAAAAUCCGAGAACUCUAUAGGCGUCGGUACCCAAGGACGAUUGAAGGACUUUCAGACUUAUCAGCUAUAAAGCCUGCGGUUUUCAAUCUGGAUAGCAGUUCUUCUCCCGUGGAGCCUGACCUGGCUGUUGCUGGCAUUCACCCGCUCCCUUCGACUUCGGUCACACCUCAGUCUCCGUCCUCACCCGUCAGCUCCGUGCUCCUUCAGGACACUAAGGCCCAUUUUGAGAUGCAGCAGCCAUCACCUCCCAUCCCACCUGUCCAUCCCGACGUCCAGCUGAAGAGCUUGCCUUUUUAUGAUGUGCUUGAUGUACUCAUAAAGCCUACAAGUCUAGUACAGAGCAGUAUUCAGCGAUUCCAAGAAAAAUUUUUUAUCUUUGCUUUGACACCUCAGCAGGUCAGAGAAAUCUGUAUUUCCAGGGACUUCUUGCCGGGGGGCAGGAGAGAUUACACCGUCCAGGUUCAGCUAAGGUUAUGCCUAGCAGAGACCAGCUGUCCUCAAGAAGAUAAUUACCCUAAUAGUUUGUGCAUUAAAGUGAAUGGGAAGCUGUUUCCAUUGCCGGGAUAUGCUCCACCACCGAAAAAUGGGAUCGAACAGAAGCGACCUGGGCGCCCCUUGAAUAUAACCUCUCUAGUUAGGUUGUCAUCAGCAGUGCCGAACCAGAUUUCCAUUUCCUGGGCUUCUGAAAUUGGAAAGAGUUACUCCAUGUCUGUGUAUCUCGUUCGUCAGCUCACUUCAGCUAUGCUUUUGCAGAGGCUAAAAAUGAAAGGGAUCAGAAACCCUGAUCAUUCCAGAGCGCUAAUUAAAGAAAAACUAACAGCAGAUCCUGACAGUGAGAUUGCCACCACCAGUCUGCGGGUGUCUCUGAUGUGCCCUCUGGGCAAAAUGAGACUGACAAUCCCGUGCCGGGCUGUCACUUGCACACACCUGCAGUGUUUUGAUGCUGCUCUCUAUCUCCAAAUGAAUGAAAAGAAGCCCACGUGGAUCUGUCCUGUCUGUGACAAAAAGGCAGCUUAUGAGAGCCUGAUACUGGACGGACUCUUUAUGGAAAUCCUUAAUGAAUGUUCAGAUGUGGAUGAGAUUAAAUUCCAGGAAGAUGGUUCCUGGUGCCCUAUGAGGCCUAAAAAGGAUGCUGUUAAAGUCUCAAGUCCACAGUGCACCAAAAUAGAAAGUUCCAGUGUUGUUAGCAAACCGUGUUCUGUGACGGUGGCCAGUGAGGUAAACAAGAAGAAAGUUGAUGUUAUUGACUUGACUAUAGAAAGCUCUUCUGAUGAAGAGGAAGAUCCUCCAGCCAAAAGGAAGUGCAUAUUCAUGUCUGAAACGCAAGGAAGCCCAACCAAAGGGGUUCUUAUGUAUCAGCCAUCCUCUGUCAGAGUGCCCAGUGUGACGACGGUUGAUACAGCUGCUAUUCCUCCGUCGUUAACAGACUACCCUGUGCCAUUCCACCACCCACCAAUGUCCAGCAUUUCCUCAGACUUGCCAGACAAACCCUAAAUGCCUAUGAUGUAUUCUUCAACACUGCUGCUAAAUAUCAGACAAAAGGUGGGGAUACUGAUUGUUUUCUAUCCUGGCUCCUUGAAAAGAACGCUGUGUGUAGGGACUCUGGGGGUUCUCUGUCGGCUGUAGUGAACCUAGAGCCCAGGAAAUGGUGACUUGUGACAGCAGGUGUCACGUGGGCCUCCUGUCCUUCCCUGCCCCGCUCCAUUGCCUGUCUCCAUUUCUCCCCUGCCGCAUCUCUGGGUUUUUUUUCAUCUUCUUUCAGUUUGGCACUGGGAUGGAUAUCAUUCCCCUCGUUUCUCUGUCCGUUUUGGUUGCCUCACUGCUCCCUCCCUCCACUUCUCCCUUGUUAAGAAAUUCAGUUUCUUUCCAAAUUGGUUAGAAGACUAAGCUGAGAGAAUGGAAGUCUAGAACUUUGUUCAUCUCUGCCAACUGAAGUUCUAGCGUGCGUAUGAACAAAAGCUGUGAAUUCUGUAAAAGCAGCUGAUCUUACAUCUCCUUUAAAAUUUUUCUUUAAUUUUCUGUAAUGGAGAAAAGUAGAGAUGCCUCUGGCUGAAACAGAUCUAUGCUAACAAGAGAGGGAGGGAGAAAGCUUACCGUUUCUUUCUGUUGCCAUAGCAAACACAAGGCCAAGAUUUUGAAAUAGAAAUGGCUGCGAUUUCUCAUUGAUUUUGUGUUUCUUAAACAUCUUGCCCUAAAUGCUUACGUGCUAAUGGCAUAGAGGAUGGGCGCUGGUUGUCACUGCUCAUAGAGGAUUACCUUGAACUACUUGUAGUUUCCUCUUCUUCAUUCCUUUUAUUUGUCUAGACGCAAAACGGGGAUGAUAUUAGAAAUGUUUCCUUAUUGGCUGCCUAUGGGUGGAGGAAGAGACCUGCUGCUUGUUUUUGGACUUGUGCAUGUUGUGACUUUACUUCAUUCCAGCAUCCUUAAUGUGAUGACACUCUUCAUGUCCCAGUUUGGCCAAGUCAGGUACAAUAUGCAGUGAAACUUGUGUUAUGAACAACAGCUCCAAAUGGCAACCUCCAUCUAAGCAACCACAUUGAACCACCCUGCAAUAUCCAGUGAAUAAUACAUCAUUGUCAUCCUCAUUCUUAAAAGAGCCACUUGUACUAGAAAACGUGUUUUGCUGCUGCCUGAAGUCGUUGAGAGUGGUGUCACAGUGGUAUAUUUCAUUUAGAAACUGUAUAGCAAUUGCAAAAAUCAGUUCUACGACAACAGCAGAAAUUCCUUAAACUUGUUGUGUGUGAAGAGAAGGAAGACACAUCAGUUUAUUAUCCCUCUUUUCUUUCUAGGUUUGGAUUUCCUUUCACUAAUUCCAGUUGAAUCACAGUCUCACCUCAACCUUAACAAGCAACACGCCUGGCAGCAUCAUCACAUCGACCAGUCACCAC